GUGUGAGGAAAUGAAUCAGUCAUCCUGGGGAAGCAGGCGAUCCGUCCGUGGCUCCAAACACUCUUUUCCUCUCUGUACCGCUGCAGGGCCAGGAGGUUCAUCUGUGCUGGAUGGCUUUUUAAUCUGAAAUAUUCAUGAUCCUACAAAGUGAAGCCACAGAUGCCAAACUUCAUCCUCCCAAUGACAUCACUCACAACGUCUCCCAUUGGACCGAGGUUCUGCCACUGAGAAACACUGACCAAUAACCGGCUACUGGUUCUGGCUGAGGAGGAUUGUGCUGGUGCAGAGCAGUAGCCAUGGUGACAGUGGAUGCUGAGCACUGCCACGACUUUGCGUGGGCAGAGUCUGAAUGGGCGAAUGACAUCACAUGAGGAGACAGGAGAAAAACAACAUCUCCUCCAGUUCCUCUGUCCGUUUGUCUGCCUGUUAUCAUAACAACAAAUGGUGCUUGGAGGCAGAUGCCAAAUGAAGCAUCUUUGUUAUCUCAGACAGAAGAAGAAACCGCUAAAAUAAUAAUCAUUUGACAUCUGGGAAAGAAAAAAAA
Long non-coding RNA from Cyprinodon tularosa, 544 nucleotides. RefSeq lists it as uncharacterized. NCBI's taxonomy places the organism in Eukaryota, Metazoa, Chordata, Actinopteri, Cyprinodontiformes, Cyprinodontidae. The transcript has 2 exons. The record is from RefSeq and is a predicted model, not a curated record.